Molecule: ribosomal RNA, 822 nt
Filed under: Eimeria sp.
Lineage: Eukaryota; Apicomplexa; Conoidasida; Eucoccidiorida; Eimeriidae
Description: SSU rRNA
Rfam family: Eukaryotic small subunit ribosomal RNA
Source: RNAcentral
UUGAAGCGCACGUCAAAGAUCAAACCAACCCACUUUGUGGAGUCUUGGUGAUUCAUAGUAACCGAACGGAUCGCAGUUGGCUUCGGCCCGCGAUGGAUCUUUCAAGUUUCUGACCUAUCAGCUUUCGACGGUAGGGUAUUGGCCUACCGUGGCAGUGACGGGUAACGGGGAAUUAGGGUUCGAUUCCGGAGAGGGAGCCUGAGAAACGGCUACCACAUCUAAGGAAGGCAGCAGGCGCGCAAAUUACCCAAUGAAAACAGUUUCGAGGUAGUGACGAGAAAUAACAAUACAGGGCAUUUUAUGCUCUGUAAUUGGAAUGAUGGGAAUGUAAAACCCUUCCAGAGUAACAAUUGGAGGGCAAGUCUGGUGCCAGCAGCCGCGGUAAUUCCAGCUCCAAUAGUGUAUAUUAGAGUUGUUGCAGUUAAAAAGCUCGUAGUUGGAUUUCUGUCGUGGUCAUCCGGCGCCGCCUGUAUGGGUGUGCACCUGGUUUGCCCGCGGCUUUCUUUCGGUAGCCCUCCGCGCUUAAUUGCGUGUGUGGGUGUUCCGGAACUUUUACUUUGAGAAAAAUAGAGUGUUUCAAGCAGGCUUGUCGCCCUGAAUACUUCAGCAUGGAAUAAUAAGAUAGGACCUUGGUUCUAUUUUGUUGGUUUCUAGGACCAAGGUAAUGAUUAAUAGGGACAGUUGGGGGCAUUCGUAUUUAACUGUCAGAGGUGAAAUUCUUAGAUUUGUUAAAGACGAACUACUGCGAAAGCAUUUGCCAAGGAUGUUUUCAUUAAUCAAGAACGACAGUAGGGGGUUGAAAGACGAUAAAAGCAAGGGGGG